AGGAACCUACCUUGUUCACAUCCAACAAACAUCUUAGUGUUCAAAUAUGACAUAAUAAUCCAUUACAACUAAACAUCACAUGACUAAGGUUCAGAAACAUCAUAGUUCAACCUUGUUGGCCUCAUACAUUAUGCCAACAGAAACACUCACAUCUUAGGGUACUUAGUUCAACGGAAACAACAUAAUUUGCUAACAAGUUCAUCACAGAUUUGCCUCACAAAAACAACAUAAUUUGCCUCACUCAUCACAGAGUUCUUUGAUUUUCCUCAACUUAACCUUGUUUGCCUCCCCAUCCUUCAGCAAAUCAGCUAUGAUAUACUCUAGCUUUUUCUUCUCCUUCUUCAUCUGUUCAAUCUAUUGAAGACCUUCAUCUGCUACUUGUUUCUUCCAAUUGCUAACAAGUUCAUCAUUGCUCUGCUUAAUGACUUGUAGUGCUGUCCUUAGCUCAAUAUUGUCUUUCUCAAGCUUAGCCUUCUCUUCCUCGGCUUGAAGUACAGCAUUUUCUACAUCCCCAUCCUGCAUAAUCUUCUGAUAGUUCUCUCUCAUCACAUUCUUGUGAAUUGUUGAAAAAAAAUUGCUUGUUUCUUUGAUGUGGUUGUGGUGCUUCUCUUGGAUUAGCUUCUUCUCUUCUCCCAGCUUGAGUAUGAGCUUUUCUUUAACAUCAUUCUCUUUGCUACUCUGCUCAUACAUAUCCCAAAGUCUGCGAAGUGCAUUUUUCACGGGUUCUGGCCAUUCUGGGUCAAUCCAUUGAACCAGACCACAAUUGUCACCUUCCUAUAAUAAUUCAGACAAAACCAGAGUUAACAGCCACAUUCAGAGAAGUCACUUGGUACCUAUAUUCAGUUAACAACUACAUAUAUUCAGUUAAACAGCUACAUACAUUCAGUUAAUAGCUACAUAUAUUCAGUUAACUGAGCUCAUUUAAAACCAGACACGUUCAGUUAAGCAUUGAUUAAACUUGACACAUUUUCCCCUCAAAACAGCUGAUAAAACAACAUCUUCAGAAAACUAAGUACACAACUAUAUUCAGUUAACAGACAUAUAAACCUAUAUUCAGUUCACUGAGCAUCAAAGAAAGGAUUUGUAUAAUGUACAUGUACAAGAGAGGACCUGCCACUAACCUGAUUACCGCAUCCAUAAAACCUACGGCCAGUGUUGAUUCCUUGAAACACAACAGCCCUAUGAACAGGAAGGUUGUGAUAGCACAUCGGUCCUCCGGCAACAAUACCGCACCACUCCGGGUCAACAAUGGUCUGUGGGAUCUGCAAUAGUGCAACAAUGCUCAAUAUCCCAACUCAAAUUCGUGAAAACUAAGCUCAAAUCGAAGAAAACCCUAACCCUAAGUCAAAGAGAAAUGAUACUCACAUAGGUCUCGUCCUCGUGCGAGUUGAAGAGGGGGGACACAGAAUCUUCGCUACUAGUUUCGCCGUCCUUCCAGGACACCAUCGCUGCGGCGGCCGGCGGCGAGAAAUGGACGGCGGAGGCGGUGGCGAAUGAGCCGCAGGCAGAGACGAAGGCGAGAGAGAGGGGAAUGGACGAACGGGUCGUGCUGGGUCGGGCCGGCUCAUUAGGUCAAGGUGCAACGUCGUCUAACGGCGCGCGUCACGGGCGCCGUCUCCCCCUGGACACGUGGCGCCUGACAGCGGGCCCAACCGGUCAGUUUUCCACUCAGACGCGCCAAACCGUUCAAUCAGUGCUAUUUGAAAACUGUCAGCGCAAACGUGGUGGUUUUUUGAAAAAAAAAUGAAAGGUGGUGGUUUUCUGUUUUAGCGUCCCCUAAUGUGGUGGUUCUUUGCAAUUUACUCUACUAACAAAUAUGUUUGCUAGAUAUUCAAAUACAGCCAAAUGAAAAUGUUUUUAUAUUUUCUGAGUUUCUGAUUCAGGAUUGAUAACCAAAACCAACGAAAAUUGUAGUCUUUUUUUAAAAAAAAGAUGGUGGAUAUCUCCAUCAUCAUCUCCUUGAUUGCAAAUUUUUGUAAGUAGCUUACCAAGCUGACUGCUUGGUAUCUCCAUCAUCAUCUCGAAAUGUAAGAACUUUUAUCCAUGUGCAAUAAUCUAGACAUGGCAUCUCUAGACCAACGAUUUAACUUCAUUGAAUAGGUAAAUCAAACACAAUUAGAUCUCGAUGUUCAUAUGUGCCUUAACUAAAGUCAAACUCGAUUUUUAAGACACCUGAUAAAACUAAAGUCAAACCUAUCUUCCUUUUUUACAUCUUGAUGUUCAUCUCUUCCUUAACUAAAGAAACUAUGAACGAUAAAAUUUGUACAAGCUCGACUAACCUUAAUUUGAAGCUAGUCUAUCAAAUCAUUGUACCGUCGUUGGAAGACCACAUACAUGUGAAGAUCAAGGCUACAAAAGAACGAAACACAAAAACUAAAAACCACAUAAUCAAACUCGACACCAAUAAUGCCACCACCACUAUGAAGAACAUAUAAAAAUCUAAAAAUCAGAUUACCUGGGGAUAACCUGCAAAUUGACCACGUUAACUGCAACUUCAAGGCAAUUGCACGGCCUUCCCGUUAGUUGCUUUUCUUUCCAUUCCAGGAAAGAAAAGAAAAUGUGCAAUGCAAACCACUAUAAAGGCCUUGAUAGGCUUUAUAAUUCUACGGUCGGCCCACUUCUGAACUUCACGUUAGUCGUCGUAUAACACCGUGCCCCUAAGGAAAGCCCAGAGUAAAAAAAACUAAAGGAAAGCCCAACAUCCAAUCCUCCUGCAUGGUGCAUCUGGUCCAGCCUCACAGUACCCUAAAAAAGUUCUGCUCCGGCCUCACCGCCAUUGGGAUGCUACUCCAGCGAGAGAUUCGGUUCGCCUCUGCUGCCAUAAGCAGGCGGCCUGAGGCCUCGUCAUCCACCUCCUAAGAUUUCAUGGUGGAACACGCCGCCGUCGUUCCUCCGACCGAGCGCGUCUUCUCUCAAUAGGUGAAAGUUCUCGAAACCCGAUUGAUGCUUCAGAAGUUUCCUUUUCCCCCGAAUAGAUGGAUCUUUCAAGAAUUGAAGCUUUUUCAGUCUAGCCGAUUGUUCGGAAGUCAAUUUUGGAUUGCAUCUUUUCCCCCAACACACAUUCUUCAACUGGCUCGUCCCAGUUUGCAACCUUAAAUCUUGUACUGUAGAUAUUUUACUGUACCUUUUACUACUAGCUGAUCUUAUGCAUCGACACCAGCUUCUGUUGCUGCAGACGAAUCUCUCCGGUGAUCCUGUGAUUGUGGGUCCUAAGUCCUAACUAAACCGCGCAUAGCAGCCCAAACCGGCUGCCAUGGAGACUCCAGCUGACUCUUCUGUCGACACCAGCAGGUAAGCCUCUGAUCUCUACUAAUGGGAUGUAAGUUUGGCCUAUUUGUUUAGGGGCACGGUGGUGACGAGCCUAAUAUUUGCUACGUUUGGUUUAUGUCAUCCCCCUCCAUGCACAUUGCCCAGGUGGGUGCUCGAGAGUUGAUCUUUCACGUCUUUUGUAUGGAACUACUUCAACAAUUUAACCAUCGUUACAGGACUUCUCUUUUGUUUACCUCUGUCUAUAGUUCCUAUGGGAAGCAAUGUUAAUCAAGUGUUUGGUUUUUUUAGCCAAAGGAAGUUACACAACCAAAUAACAUGUAACAUAAAGCAUGUCCUACUGAUUUUUCCAUGAGUAGAAUAAAAGAUAGUGUUGUUAAACAUGGAACCAAGAUACAGGAAAAACUGAAAGGGUAAUGUUUCAAGUCUAAAUGUUGUCUUCUUGAUCUGUGAAGCUGGAUCCAAGUGUUAUUUCAGCUUGCGUUAGUAAUUUGGAUAACUUGGACAUCUAUAUGUGUUCCGAUUUUGUUUUCAGUAUCUAUUGUAUCCUUGUCCUUGCAUUUUUCAAGAGCUUAACUUGUUUUCCUUGAUUCAAGUCUGUCCAUGAGCACUUCAGAAACAAUGCUUAUGCCAAAGAUCUACGCGAAGCCAACAAGGUGAAUUUCUGUUUAUUUCAUUCGAUGUCAUAUAUGGCUGAGUUGUUGAACACUUCCAAGGUCUUUGAGUUGUCAAUAUGAAUUGACUAAUUUGAAUAAUUGAGCUUAAGUCGUUGAACCUUCAUUAGGCUAUGGUUUCUUUGUCCCUUUUGAAGUAUGUGUAACAUGAGACCAUGUGCAACUGUUCGCUUUGGCUUACUUCUGUUUCAGUUUACAUUCUUAUUCAAGGAGUUAGACAUAAUGCUUGAUUGGUACUUAGAUGGUGCUAGUCCUCAGAAACUGUUGGUACUACUGAUUGGCUUGUGCAUAGGUCUGGAGUACCUGGUUUACAAGUUAAGCGUCGGUUAGCGUGUUACUGUGCACUAUAUGAUUGGGUCCUAGUUACAUUGUGCUGGGGUUGGAUUCAUCAUUUAUGUACAUUUUGGUGUUACUUCUCAGAGUAUAUAACUAGGUCACAAUUUUAUUUCCUUCCCUAGCUAGAGAUUGCGAUGGGCAUGAAUGCUGAAAGUAGUGCUGGCCUAAAGCAAGGCCGUAUCUGGGUUUGGCUUCACAAUGUUUGGACUUCACUUAGGCCUCAUUUGGUUUCAUGGGAUCCGGGGGGAUCCCUGGCUUUUCCCCGGCCAGAGAAACCACGGACUAAAUUCUCCCCGGGUGAUCCACCAGCGCAUUUGGAGACCCAAGAGACAGGGGCAGCCCCGCCCUUUCCCUAGGUGAGGCUUCCACGCCUCGUGAGGUCAGGGAGAAAAUCCUCGUCGCUUGGUAUCGCGAACGAGAGGCGGCGGCGACCAGAUCAAGAACUCCUCCGCCGUCCAGCGCCCCGCCCUUCAUGGUCCAACGCUCCACCGUCCCCCGGCUCUCCUCCGGCAACUGGAAGCAGCGCACCCCCAUCUCCCUCCACCUCCACGCCCUGCACCUCUGGCGGGGGCGACGGCGACCCGAGGUCGUCACCAUCUCUCUCCGCCUUGAAGUUCCCUCACCUCCGGCAAAGACGACAACCAGGAGGUUAUCCUCCUCUUUCACCAAGGUAUCCCCUCAUCCUCCUCUUCUACCCGAGUGUUUUUCUUCUCCAUGGUGAUGCCUUCCCUGCCAUUCGCGGACACGAGAUGAGGAGCUCUGUGCAGAUCCAAAAACCUCCUCUUUGGUCUGCUUCCUUUUGUUUGCAGCUCCCCCUAGCCCCUAACAUGCUUGAUUUGUUCUCAUGGAAGAUCCCAACAAAUUAUUAUGGAAGAAAAAUUGUUGUUUCUUGCCACUAUAGACUGAAUUGAUGAUUGGUGUUUUUCUUUCUGCCAUCAAAAUGACAAGUGGGAGCAGCAAGAUUAGAUAAUCAUUUAGUUAUACUAGUAUGUAUAUUGUCAUAACUUGGAAGAAUUAGUGAUGGGUAAUCGCUACUAACCUGUGUUCUGGCGAAGUGCCAAAGUGGUAAUUACUAUGUCGUUCAGGACAUGAACAAUUGAGUGUUGAAUGCCAGCUUUGUGUAGGUUUAGUUCAGUCAGCUUCCUAUAGGUUUGUUUUUCAGCUAGCUUGCUGUUAACAUGUCAUUUGUUGGAUAUUACAUUUUUCUAUGGCAGAUUAAAAAUAUAGAACUAUCUAUGAUUACUUGGCACAUAUAUGUAGCUUCUGUAGUUUCUUGUGCACUCUGUACUACCAGCAUUUGAUAGGUUGUACUUGGUGUGAAAUUCAUUGAUGUUGAUUUACACAAGUUUCAUAUUCAUUGAUGUUAUUAGAAUAUCACUAUGUUUGUAUUUACUCUAUUCCUAGGCUCCCACCUACUUGUUCUU
This 5701-nucleotide long non-coding RNA is filed under the name Triticum aestivum (bread wheat). RNAcentral's name for it is "long non-coding RNA (TAES_LNC010670)". The record is from RNAcentral. Lineage: Eukaryota; Viridiplantae; Streptophyta; Magnoliopsida; Poales; Poaceae.